RNAcentral lists this ribosomal RNA (837 nucleotides) under Emberiza fucata. RNAcentral's name for it is "partial 16S ribosomal RNA". The stretch from base 272 to 689 matches the Rfam family "Bacterial large subunit ribosomal RNA", at positions 624 to 1296 of the family's 2925-position model. Lineage: Eukaryota; Metazoa; Chordata; Aves; Passeriformes; Fringillidae. The record is from RNAcentral.
UUCAGCUUACACCUGAAAAAUGUCUGCUAACACCAGAUCGUCUUGAUGCCAAACUCUAGCCCAACCGACACGACCCGGAAUAACAAAGCCACUUCCCCAAACCCAACUAAAGCAUUCAUAAGUCCCAGUAUAGGCGAUAGAAAAGACACCAUUGGCGCGAUAGAGACUACGUACCGUAAGGGAAAGAUGAAAUAACAAUGAAAACUAAGCUACAAACAGCAAAGAUCAACCCUUGUACCUUUUGCAUCAUGGUCUAGCAAGAAAAACCAAGCAAAAUGAAUUUAAGUUUGCCACCCCGAAACCCAAGCGAGCUACUUACGAGCAGCUAUUAUUGAGCGAACCCGUCUCUGUGGCAAAAGAGUGGGAUGACUUGUUAGUAGAGGUGAAAAGCCAACCGAGCUGGGUGAUAGCUGGUUGCCUGUGAAACGAAUCUAAGUUCACUCUUAAUUCUUCUCCAAGGAAACCCACAAACCCCAAUGAAGCGAAUUAAGGGCUAUUUAAAGGAGGUACAGCUCCUUUAAAAAAGAAUACAAUCUCUACGAGCGGAUAAGUACAACCUCAAACUGAACUGUGGGCCCUCAAGCAGCCAUCAACAAAGAGUGCGUUAAAGCUCUACACUAAAAAUAUAAGAACCUCACGACUCCCUCUCCAUUAACAGGCUAACCUAUAACCAAAUAGGAGAAUUAAUGCUAGAAUGAGUAACCAGGGUUCCCCCUCUACGACGCGAGCUUACAUCUGUACAUUAUUAACAAACCACCAAUAUACGACAAAUCAAACAAGCACAGUAUUAAACAUCUUGUUAACCCGACAGAGGAGCGUCCUCUAAGAAAGAUUAAA